RNAcentral lists this ribosomal RNA (429 nucleotides) under bacterium. RNAcentral's name for it is "partial 16S ribosomal RNA". It matches the Rfam family "Bacterial small subunit ribosomal RNA", at positions 355 to 776 of the family's 1533-position model. The record is from RNAcentral.
UAGGGAAUCUUCCACAAUGGACGCAAGUCUGAUGGAGCAACGCCGCGUGAGUGAAGAAGGUUUUCGGAUCGUAAAGCUCUGUUGUUGGUGAAGAAGGAUAGAGGUAGUAACUGGCCUUUAUUUGACGGUAAUCAACCAGAAAGUCACGGCUAACUACGUGCCAGCAGCCGCGGUAAUACGUAGGAGGCAAGCGUUGUCCGGAUUUAUUGGGCGUAAAGCGAGCGCAGGCGGAAGAAUAAGUCUGAUGUGAAAGCCCUCGGCUUAACCGAGGAACUGCAUCGGAAACUGUUUUUCUUGAGUGCAGAAGAGGAGAGUGGAAUUCCAUGUGUAGCGGUGGAAUGCGUAGAUAUAUGGAAGAACACCAGUGGCGAAGGCGACUCUCUGGUCUGCAACUGACGCUGAGGCUCGAAAGCAUGGGUAGCGAACAGG